GCGAAAGUGAAGCGUUACGAGAUCUGAUGUCACAGCGUCGGGUAGAAUAACAAGCAACGUGGGAGGAGGAAGCUGGGAGCUGAUGGACUGCGAUCCAACAAUACAGGUUCUGCGCGGCAGGAGUCCCCGCCACCGGGCCGCGUGCGAGCCCCACAGGGAGACUGGACGAACCUUUGGGGGAUUUGCUUUAUCUUAUUGGGCUGUCUGCAGACAGGUUGACAUCGGUCUUGAGAAUUUCUUCUCAAUUGCCUUCGCUGGAUGAUGGAUGAUGGAUGAUGGACGGAUAGCAUAAAAGGUUGAGGAGCACUGCUGCGCUGGAGUUUGUCGAAACAGUGCAGGACAACUUAGACAUACUCGCAGGACAACUACGUUACCAGUGAUUCAAGACUUCCCUCGCGAGCAUCCCAGAGUCAAAUCCCAAGUAAAAGUCUUCACUUCGACACGUGGCGAUCUGCAGAUUGAAGGCCUUGGCGGAGUCGAUUUCCAAAGAUUCAGCACCAAGCCAAAAUCCUCAAACAUCUAAAGGGGAUUAUUCCACACAGCUCUGGGGCUUUUGCCACCUACUCUCCAAAAAUUCAGCUGGGAUUCUCUGGAAAACGUGGGAACGUGCAAAGCUUCGGGGAAGACGACGUUCGAAGACACCAGGAAUGCAGUAUGUGCGCCUCUUUACUUCCAAAGACGGAAUAUAAACCACACUCACUGUCAACUUUGCAUUGGUGAUGCAGAAUGAGAGCGAUAGAAAUCCAAGUUUGCUCUCAAACGUGGAGAGCAUGUACCGCAUCCAGUGUUGGGGACUAACUAGUUACAUGAAUAUUUGAAUUGCAAAAGGUAUGUCAUUGUAAUCCAUUACAAUACUGGGAGAACAUGUGUGAUUAAAUCACAUUGUUAUUACAAAUUUUGUUACGUUUGAAAAACUGUCACAAAAACUUUUUUUUGGGGGGGGGGGGAAUAUCACUUCCUCCCGCUCAAGCCCACGCUCUAGUCAUGUGCCAUUCUGCGUAGUCUCAAACGAAACAUAUUUUUCCAAAUAUGACCUGAAGCGCCACCUUGUGGAUUUUGAAAAGGUUACACUCGUCGUUACACUUUUUGGAACACUUGAUUUUGGACAUUUUGGAAACAUGGACUUAUCUGGGUUGUCAUAUGACGUUGCGACAUUGUCUAAAUUGUGCACGUUUGUCAUUAGGUCACGAUGGUAUGGUAUGGUGGUAUUUUUAUGAUCUAUUUACAUUUCAUCCUGUUUUGUUAUCCGUUUACGAUCUGUGGAAAGAAUA
This is a long non-coding RNA of Phyllopteryx taeniolatus (common seadragon), 1271 nucleotides long. RefSeq lists it as uncharacterized. The record is from RefSeq and is a predicted model, not a curated record. The transcript has 4 exons. Lineage: Eukaryota; Metazoa; Chordata; Actinopteri; Syngnathiformes; Syngnathidae.